Molecule: ribosomal RNA, 769 nt
Filed under: Salmonella enterica subsp. enterica serovar Uganda
Lineage: Bacteria; Pseudomonadati; Pseudomonadota; Gammaproteobacteria; Enterobacterales; Enterobacteriaceae
Description: partial 23S ribosomal RNA
Rfam family: Bacterial large subunit ribosomal RNA
Source: RNAcentral
GGGUUGUGAGGUUAAGCGACUAAGCGUACACGGUGGAUGCCCUGGCAGUCAGAGGCGAUGAAGGGCGUGCUAAUCUGCGAUAAGCGCCGGUAAGGUGAUAUGAACCGUUAUAACCGGCGAUACCCGAAUGGGGAAACCCAGUGUGACUCGUCACACUAUCAUUAACUGAAUCCAUAGGUUAAUGAGGCGAACCGGGGGAACUGAAACAUCUAAGUACCCCGAGGAAAAGAAAUCAACCGAGAUUCCCCCAGUAGCGGCGAGCGAACGGGGAGGAGCCCAGAGCCUGAAUCAGCAUGUGUGUUAGUGGAAGCGUCUGGAAAGGCGCGCGAUACAGGGUGACAGCCCCGUACACAAAAGCGCAUGUGCUGUGAGCUCGAUGAGUAGGGCGGGACACGUGGUAUCCUGUCUGAAUAUGGGGGGACCAUCCUCCAAGGCUAAAUACUCCUGACUGACCGAUAGUGAACCAGUACCGUGAGGGAAAGGCGAAAAGAACCCCGGCGAGGGGAGUGAAAAAGAACCUGAAACCGUGUACGUACAAGCAGUGGGAGCCCCACCACUAAGCCAGUGGUGAACUCCACAUACGCAUCCUUUGCUGAGGAUACGGUUAACGGAGCGAAAGCGACGUUCAACCGCAAAAGAAGCAGAGGGGGCUUAGUGGUGGGGUGACUGCGUACCUUUUGUAUAAUGGGUCAGCGACUUAUAUUCUGUAGCAAGGUUAACCGAAUAGGGGAGCCGUAGGGAAACCGAGUCUUAACCGGGCGUUAAGUUG